CUGCAGUCGACGGUGACGAUGGAGCUUGCUCUGUCUGAUCAGUGGCGAACGGGUGAGUAACACGUGAGUAACCUGCCCCCGACUCUGGAAUAACCGUGGGAAACGACGGCUAAUACCGGAUAUGAGACGCACAGGCAUCUGUGGGUCUGGAAAGAUUUAUCGGUCAGGGAUGGACUCGCGGCCUAUCAGCUUGUUGGUGGGGUAAUGGCCUACCAAGGCGACGACGGGUAGCCGGCCUGAGAGGGCGACCGGCCACACUGGGACUGAGAUACGGCCCAGACUCCUACGGGAGGCAGCAGUGGGGAAUAUUGCACAAUGGGCGCAAGCCUGAUGCAGCGACGCCGCGUGAGGGAUGAAGGCCUUCGGGUUGUAAACCUCUUUCAGCAGGGAAGAAGCGAAAGUGACGGUACCUGCAGAAGAAGCGCCGGCUAACUACGUGCCAGCAGCCGCGGUAAUACGUAGGGCGCAAGCGUUGUCCGGAAUUAUUGGGCGUAAAGAGCUCGUAGGCGGUUUGUCGCGUCUGCUGUGAAAACCUGAGGCUCAACCUCGGGCUUGCAGUGGGUACGGGCAGACUAGAGUGCGGUAGGGGUGACUGGAAUUCCUGGUGUAGCGGUGGAAUGCGCAGAUAUCAGGAGGAACACCGAUGGCGAAGGCAGGUCACUGGGCCGCAACUGACGCUGAGGAGCGAAAGCAUGGGGAGCGAACAGGAUUAGAUACCCUGGUAGUCCAUGCCGUAAACGUUGGGCACUAGGUGUGGGGCUCAUUCCACGAGUUCCGUGCCGCAGCAAACGCA
This 793-nucleotide ribosomal RNA is filed under the name Cellulomonas sp. RODV14. RNAcentral describes it as "bacterial SSU rRNA". It matches the Rfam family "Bacterial small subunit ribosomal RNA", at positions 55 to 859 of the family's 1533-position model. The record is from RNAcentral. Lineage: Bacteria; Bacillati; Actinomycetota; Actinomycetes; Micrococcales; Cellulomonadaceae.